Long non-coding RNA from Dioscorea cayenensis subsp. rotundata (Guinea yam), 835 nucleotides. RefSeq lists it as uncharacterized. The record is from RefSeq and is a predicted model, not a curated record. NCBI's taxonomy places the organism in Eukaryota, Viridiplantae, Streptophyta, Magnoliopsida, Dioscoreales, Dioscoreaceae. The transcript has 4 exons.
GUCAGCAAGAGAGGGGUGAAAGAUGAUCUGCAGCAUUUGUGGUGCACAAGGCCAUAAUAAGAGGUUCCAUGGAGUGGAACUGAACACCACAUAGAACCUGCGAAAACAACAACACAGAGGACCUUCUCUUGGUGAGACUUCAUUGGGAGUGGAGUUACUUGCUAAUGUUAGACAAAAAGGAGAGGCAUCUGACUUAGGAAUACCAGCUCAAUCAAAGAUGAGUGUUGGCAAACUUUCAAUUGUGGAGAUUUCUAUUGAUUGUUUCUGUUUGGUAUCUUAAAUUAUAACAAUUGAAAUCAAUUGAUUGUGUUUGGUGUCUUAGGAACAUCAGUUCUGUUUGAUGCCUUGAAUAGUUUACAAUGCUUGUAUUUGAUCCCCUUCUAUGCAGUUUUUUACAAUUCCUGUUGGCACAACAUAUGGGACAACACCUUGCUCCCAAACACAAGAGCACGUGUCACAAGUGGACAUUGGACAUUUGCAAACAUAUGACAUGGGCUCAUAUAGAAAUGUAGAUGAAUUUAGUAGCCUAGACCAUUCAAAUGUGUAGAUGGCAGUGAAAGAAGUUGCAGGAGGGAAAGAACAAACUUCAAACCUUGUAAUGGAAGCACAUCCUUAUGGAAGAAAACCUACCAACAAAUCAUCAACAACUGCUUCAGCAAUGUUGAAGAUUCAAGUAAAAACUAAAUAAGCAGGGCCAUCCAACAAGGCAGGAGGUGCUGACAAAAGGAGAAAGAUUUGGUUGCCACCAGGAAUUGGAGCCUAUUCUAGUUCAACUGAUGCUUACAAAAAACCUUCUUAAGAUGCAAAUUGCUUGCCUGAUUUUGUACAUCUGCAG